ACUAUUUUGGCAGAAUAAUGUAGGGGUUUUAGAAGUCAUUAAUAUAUAAUUUAAUUAUAUAAAUAGUA
RNAcentral lists this transfer RNA (68 nucleotides) under Ariadne ariadne. RNAcentral's name for it is "tRNA-Leu". Lineage: Eukaryota; Metazoa; Arthropoda; Insecta; Lepidoptera; Nymphalidae. The record is from RNAcentral.